UUCAUGGAGAGUUUGAUCCUGGCUCAGGACGAACGCUGGCGGCGUGCCUAAUACAUGCAAGUCGAGCGAACCGACGGGAGCUUGCUCCCUUAGGUUAGCGGCGGACGGGUGAGUAACACGUGGGUAACCUGCCUGUAAGACUGGGAUAACUCCGGGAAACCGGGGCUAAUACCGGAUGCUUGAUUGAACCGCAUGGUUCAAUUAUAAAAGGUGGCUUUUAGCUACCACUUACAGAUGGACCCGCGGCGCAUUAGCUAGUUGGUGAGGUAACGGCUCACCAAGGCGACGAUGCGUAGCCGACCUGAGAGGGUGAUCGGCCACACUGGGACUGAGACACGGCCCAGACUCCUACGGGAGGCAGCAGUAGGGAAUCUUCCGCAAUGGACGAAAGUCUGACGGAGCA
RNAcentral lists this ribosomal RNA (403 nucleotides) under Bacillus sp. (in: firmicutes). RNAcentral's name for it is "bacterial SSU rRNA". It matches the Rfam family "Bacterial small subunit ribosomal RNA", at positions 1 to 393 of the family's 1533-position model. Lineage: Bacteria; Bacillati; Bacillota; Bacilli; Caryophanales; Bacillaceae. The record is from RNAcentral.